UACGUAGGGUGCAAGCGUUGUCCGGAAUUAUUGGGCGUAAAGAGCUCGUAGGCGGUCUGUUGCGUCGGCUGUGAAAACCCGAGGCUCAACCUCGGGCCUGCAGCCGAUACGGGCAGACUAGAGUUCGGCAGGGGAGACUGGAAUUCCUGGAGUAGCGGUGAAAUGCGCAGAUAUCAGGAGGAACACCGGUGGCGAAGGCGGGUCUCUGGGCCGAUACUGACGCUGAGGAGCGAAAGCGUGGUGAGCGAACAGG
This 253-nucleotide ribosomal RNA is filed under the name uncultured bacterium. RNAcentral describes it as "partial 16S ribosomal RNA". It matches the Rfam family "Bacterial small subunit ribosomal RNA", at positions 524 to 776 of the family's 1533-position model. The record is from RNAcentral.